RNAcentral lists this ribosomal RNA (2556 nucleotides) under Triticum aestivum (bread wheat). RNAcentral's name for it is "partial small subunit ribosomal RNA". Lineage: Eukaryota; Viridiplantae; Streptophyta; Magnoliopsida; Poales; Poaceae. The record is from RNAcentral.
AGGGUGGAGAGCAUGCUGGGUGAGCUAAAAGAAAGGGGGCAGGGCCAAUAGAGGGAGUACCAAAAGAGGGGGACCGGACGAGGAGUGCGGCCACAGGGCGCGGUGGGGACGGCUGGAGGCCGGCAGCAGGUUUUAUUGUCGUGGUACCUAGGGCUACACCUCGAGGUAACGCCGGGCUAGACUGGACCCUCGCUGGUCUAGGCACGCAGAGGCGGAACGAGGCGCGCGGAGGUACCAGGCAGCAGAAGGGCUCGCAGCCGCGGCGCGGGUCGGCGGCGGCAGGGUACGGUACCAGCGGAGGGAGGUCUUGAUGCACGGUACCGGAGGAGGGACGGAGAGGGCGUUUAAUUGAGGGUCGUUGGCAUGUACUCGGGGUUCCGUGGUGCACUAAGACUACUAUGUGGUUGUGACCCAGCCAGGAUGUAACAACUGGACGAGGUAAGAUAGGCCGUCGAGGUAACCCUUUCGUGGUUGCAUUUUUUGGUGGCGUCCUGUUUAAGCGAAGUUAAAACAACAAUCACUGUCUACCGGCGUGGCGAGGGUGGCGCCGCCGCCGUUGCCGUUAGAAGGGGAGUUACCAGCACAGCAUGGCGAGGUUGCGGUAGGCUCUGUUGGUAGCGCACCACCUCCUCCCGGUGGAGCUCAUGUAGCCCCUUCGCCACUCGCGCCAGCGACUGUGUACAAGACAACUCAGGAGGUAAAGUCAAAGGUCUGGAACACCGGCUACUCCGCAUGGACGCACAAAGAAACUACCAGCUGUUGCUCUAGGUUUGAGGUUCAUAAGCACCUAUAUCCCUUGUCAAUACCAUGUUUAUCUGAACUAACAUGACUAUUAAAAGUCGAACGUGUACCUAGGGAAUAUCAUACGUUAAUUCGAACUACUGUUUAAGAACCUCUCUGUGAUCCACGGUCCAACCUCUAAACCCUAGCCUACGCGGUUAUUGUUCCCUGGUUCCACGACUUGAUUGCCGUGCCCGUCUUACUAAGAAGUACAUGGUUGUAUCAGCGGCUGAUCUCUUAAUUCAAUUGACAAACUAAAUGAACUUCGAGGUAUAACAUCAAUAAAAUAAGUAAGUGAUUAAACCAUAUUAGGAUGAGAUCCUCCUAAUAGUGACAUACUAUACUCUAGUACUGCAAAUCGUUACUAUUUUGAGACUGUAACCUACCAAGAAAAGACUUCAUGUCAACAUUCUAGAUACUAAGAUCGAAGCUGGAAAUUGACCUGUCAUGAUUAACCUGUAUAUUAACUAUUUAAUACGUGUUCUAUAAGACAACAGAAAACAAGAGGUUAGACUAAGUAGAUCGUGAAACAACUGAAAGAUUAACAAGAUGGGAGAUGGAGACUUUGUUUAAACCACUAAAGACGAUACUAUCAAAGGUCAUAUCAGCGCUCAUACGGGUAGUUAGCAUUUUUAUAUAACAAACUGAAUCAGCAUCCAAGACAUCAUCAGAACGGAACCGAGACGACGGAGAGGAGAGACGAGGAACGACGGACGCCGACAGGGUAGAGAGGAUCGCGACGACGACGUGAAGAAGGCUUCGAGAAGAGUUGGGACAACGAAUUCAAGAAGAGACUUGAGGUUGGACAACGACGAAGAAGGUACAUAAAUCAAUGUACUAAAAUUAAACUAGCAGAAGAACGUAGAAUAAAAACGACUGAUACUAUAAAGGAAUCCAAGUGGAACUGGAAGUGACGGGCACAUUCUCGAAUUCAUUUAACUACAACAUAGUAGUCUUAGACAUCGGAACGAGUCAAAAAAACAGAUAUGUAUGUGAAGUUAAGGAACGAGCGUGAGUUUAGGGAGAAACAGUGUCCUACUUAGUCUUUGAUUUCUACUACUAUGCUACCUAUGUCUUCUUCGAAGGAAACAGGAGUAGCGACGUGACAUCAGAAAGUCGGUUCGAGACCACUUACUACUACCUCUUUUUCUAUAGCACUGUCUCCAACUACAGAAGAACGCAGGUUGGGAUCUAGUGUCCCCGAGAGAAUAGUCGUUUUAUCGAUGAGAUCUACGCGUCUACUGCUAGCGUUCUCUAGUAUAGAACUCCUAUUCACUUAUUGAAACUCCAGAUGUACAGUUCAUAUCUUUCUCUUUGGACUACUGCUGUUCACACAGCAGCUAUAGAAACGACGGUGAAGAAACGGUCGGUCUCACCGAACAAAAAUCACUGCUAGUACCACAUGUACACACAUAUACAACACAAGACUAUAUGACAUGAUGUUCUAAAAGAACCUUACCAAACCAUGAAGGCCCUAAAUCUGAUACUUCUCGCAUACACAUACGACCAAGGUAUAUGAGACAUGCAGACCAAUCGUCCUCUAAUUCGUUACCCGCUCCAAAACAUAGAAGAGUCCCCAACGAUACGUAGAACGGAACGUAUGAGUCGAUGCACACCAGUCACUAUUGUUAGCUGCCUUAGAGGCAAUUUUUCACAAACAUUAAUGAUCGUCGUAAGGUAUUAAACAUAUCCCAACAGGACAACAACGUUGGAUCCUUCCUGUUUGUCCCAGCCAGCAGUGGUGUCUAUUUUUGUAACAGCUCGGAAUGAAAAACG